Molecule: ribosomal RNA, 367 nt
Filed under: Trichogloea requienii
Lineage: Eukaryota; Rhodophyta; Florideophyceae; Nemaliales; Liagoraceae
Description: bacterial LSU rRNA
Rfam family: Bacterial large subunit ribosomal RNA
Source: RNAcentral
CUUUACUGUAGCUUGGAAUUGGAUUUGAGCUUUUCUUGUGCAGAAUAGGUGGGAGGCUAUGAUAGCAGGUUUGCGAAUCUGAAGGAGCCGCCCGUGAGAUACCACUCUGGGAAAGCUAAAAUUCUAACUUUAAGCCGUUAGCCGGAUAAAGGACAGUUUCAGGUGGGCAGUUUGACUGGGGCGGUCGCCUCCCAAAAAGUAACGGAGGCGUGCAAAGGUUCCCUCAGGCUGGUCGGAAAUCAGUCGUAGAGUGUAAAGGCAUAAGGGAGCUUGACUGCAAGACCUACAAGUCGAGCAGGGACGAAAGUCGGCCUUAGUGAUCCGACAGUGCCGAGUGGAAGGGCUGUCGCUCAACGGAUAAAAGUUA